This is a long non-coding RNA of Rosa chinensis, 988 nucleotides long. RefSeq lists it as uncharacterized. Lineage: Eukaryota; Viridiplantae; Streptophyta; Magnoliopsida; Rosales; Rosaceae. The record is from RefSeq and is a predicted model, not a curated record. The transcript is spliced from 2 exons.
UUCGGAAAGUUGGUAGCACGUGGCGCGUCCUCGUUUCCCUGGCCUAGCCAUAAAUUAAGAGCUCUCUCAUCGCACUCCAUACACAUGUACUAGGUUUAGGGUUUCAUAUAGUCCUCUCUUUGGUUCAGUUCUCGAUCGCCGCAGACUAAGUUGAGGAACCACCUCCCUGAAGUUAAGAUAGUUAACAUCUUCCCCAGUGUGCCGUCAUAUUUCGGGAUCCGAGUCCGCUGCGCUUUCUAAACGGUGAGGAUCUAGGGUCUGCGAUCAGCAAUUCGUCAGAUUCCAUUUCAAACUGAUUAGUUUUGGAUGGUCGACUGAUCGAGAGAGUUUGAAGUGGGAUUUGGCGAAUAGAGGAUCGAGAUGAAUGGAGCUCCAGCGUUUUGAAACGCAGCAGAAGCGGGUUCUUGUUUUGACAGGGUAACCUGGUGGGGAUGCUCACUAUUUUAUCUUGAGGUGAGGUUUCAGGAAUCUUCCGGCAAUGCAAAUCUGUCUCAGAUCAGAUCUUCGAGAAGACGUACAAUUGUAUGCUGGAUGUAAUUUUUGCUCGUAAUUGAUAUAUCCACCGAGUUUUGAUCAUUUAUUAGUGAUGCUCUGUAGAGGCUUAAGGCUUUGCGCUCGUGUAAAUGAGAGAACAUAGAUUCUGUUGGCCUUAUUUAAUGAAAGCUGUCGGUCUCGCAACUUUGUUGGCCACCAAUCUACAGACCAUGGUUGGAGCCAUUAGGUUAUGUACAAUUUUUCCAAAAUUUUCAAUCGCAUGACUCCAUUAUUUUGUGUUUAGUAUACUAUUGUAGUAGCCAAAAGAUCAAGAAAAACAACAAUGUAUCAGUACAGUAGUAACCACACAGUAUAGGCCAGGGCCACAUGGGGGCACAAUAGUGUGUGGUAGUAGUGAUCGAUCUUUGUGCUUCAUUCUUUUGCAAUACAAAUUUCCUUAGCUCUAGAAAUUCAAAAAAAAAAAAAUCCAGACACAGAAUAGUUUGAGAAGAAA